GGGCGGUGCUAUACAUGCAAGUCGAACGCGUUGGCCCAAUUGAUUGAUGGUGCUUGCACCUGAUUGAUUUUGGUCGCCAACGAGUGGCGGACGGGUGAGUAACACGUAGGUAACCUGCCCAGAAGCGGGGGACAACAUUUGGAAACAGAUGCUAAUACCGCAUAACACGUUGUUCGCAUGAACAACGCUUAAAAGAUGGCUUCUCGCUAUCACUUCUGGAUGGACCUGCGGUGCAUUAGCUUGUUGGUGGGGUAACGGCCUACCAAGGCGAUGAUGCAUAGCCGAGUUGAGAGACUGAUCGGCCACAAUGGGACUGAGACACGGCCCAUACUCCUACGGGAGGCAGCAGUAGGGAAUCUUCCACAAUGGGCGCAAGCCUGAUGGAGCAACACCGCGUGAGUGAAGAAGGGUUUGGCUCGUAAAGCUCUGUUGUUAAAGAAGAACACGUAUGAGAGUAACUGUUCAUACGUUGACGGUAUUUAACCAGAAAGUCACGGCUAACUACGUGCCAGCAGCCGCGGUAAUACGUAGGUGGCAAGCGUUAUCCGGAUUUAUUGGGCGUAAAGAGAGUGCAGGCGGUUUUCUAAGUCUGAUGUGAAAGCCUUCGGCUUAACCGGAGAAGUGCAUCGGAAACUGGAUAACUUGAGUGCAGAAGAGGGUAGUGGAACUCCAUGUGUAGCGGUGGAAUGCGUAGAUAUAUGGAAGAACACCAGUGGCGAAGGCGGCUACCUGGUCUGCAACUGACGCUGAGACUCGAAAGCAUGGGUAGCGAACAGGAUUAGAUACCCUGGUAGUCCAUGCCGUAAACGAUGAGUGCUAGGUGUUGGAGGGUUUCCGCCCUUCAGUGCCGGAGCUAACGCAUUAAGCACUCCGCCUGGGGAGUACGACCGCAAGGUUGAAACUCAAAGGAAUUGACGGGGCCCGCACAAGCGGUGGAGCAUGUGGUUUAAUUCGAAGCUACGCGAGACCUUACCAGGUCUUGACAUCUUGCGCAACCCUAGAGAUAGGGCGUUCCUUCGGGAACGCAAUGACAGUGGCAUGGUCGUCGUCCUCGUGUCGUGAUGUGGUAGUCCGCAACGAGCGCAACCUGGUACUAGUGCAGCAUAAGUGGCCUCUAGUGAGACUGCGGACAACGGAGAGGUGGGACGACGUCGAUCAUCAUGCCCUUGACUGGCUCGGUCUACAUGAACGGUAACGAGUCGCGACUCCCGAGGGCAAGCUAU
Molecule: ribosomal RNA, 1223 nt
Filed under: Limosilactobacillus fermentum
Lineage: Bacteria; Bacillati; Bacillota; Bacilli; Lactobacillales; Lactobacillaceae
Description: bacterial SSU rRNA
Rfam family: Bacterial small subunit ribosomal RNA
Source: RNAcentral